GCCAAUCCUGUCCCCAUCCCACCAAACUUACUUUUCUUCUUUUCCUCCACUUGUCCAUACCCAUAACUACUCCCUUGUCCAUAUGACGACCCGUACCCUGGCUCAUACCCAGUAGUCUGAGGCCCCGCAUUAUAAGGAUAACCACCAGGUGGCGCAGUUUGAGGCCCUGCAUUAUAAGGAUACCCUCCAGGUGGCGCUGCAGAAUAACCAUAAUUCUGCGGCGGUGCACCAUAAGGGUUUCCAUAUCCAGGAGCAGAGGGAUUAUAAUUAUAAUCCCUCGACGACGCCUGAGGUGGAGGAACACCAUAAGGAGGAGCGUAGUACUCACCCGACCCACGAU
RNAcentral lists this long non-coding RNA (340 nucleotides) under Medicago truncatula (barrel medic). RNAcentral's name for it is "long non-coding RNA (MTRU_LNC004121)". Lineage: Eukaryota; Viridiplantae; Streptophyta; Magnoliopsida; Fabales; Fabaceae. The record is from RNAcentral.